Equus caballus (horse) is the source of this 620-nucleotide long non-coding RNA. RefSeq lists it as uncharacterized. The record is from RefSeq and is a predicted model, not a curated record. NCBI's taxonomy places the organism in Eukaryota, Metazoa, Chordata, Mammalia, Perissodactyla, Equidae.
AAUCAAAACCUGUCCUGCCAGCAUUUCCAUUUGCCAGCCUGUUCCCCCUGAUCUCUUAAAUUUUGCCCCAGAUCCUGAAUCGGGGAGACAGAUCUGAGGGCACAUGCCCCCUGUCUCUUUUCCCAAAGGCUGAUGCUGUUAUCAACUGGCCAUUUACGCGCAUCGGGCAAGACAGCCCCAAUUUUGUGCAGUAACAGCAGGUUUACACAGAAGGGAGCGUCGACACCGGACUCACAGAGCAAGCUGAAGUCUGAGGCUCUGGAUCAGAGUUUUGGAAGAAGGGGUUGAACACAAGUGGAACUGGUCUAGUCCAGGGCUUCUGAACGCUACAUUUUGGAGGAAGGCCAUCUUGGGAAGUUCCAAAGUACUUUGGAAAAGAUUAUGUUGAAAGACUAAAGGAAAUUGUCCCGGCCUCUGAGGAGUUGGACAUCAGCAACUACUCAUUUGCAAUUAGACAGCUUACAGCUAUCAAUCUAAAAGUAACAUGAUGAGUUCUUUCUUAGUCUGCCGUCACAUCCCAAAGUGGAGGCUGGGCCCACGUGUUUGGGAGUAUUUUGGUUUACUAAACCACCUGGGUACCACUGUAAUUAUUUUGGAAAGAAAACUCUGCCUUACCUUCA